Molecule: ribosomal RNA, 261 nt
Filed under: uncultured prokaryote
Description: partial 16S ribosomal RNA
Rfam family: Bacterial small subunit ribosomal RNA
Source: RNAcentral
UACGUAGGUGGCGAGCGUUGUCCGGAUUUACUGGGCGUAAAGGGAGCGUAGGCGGACUUUUAAGUGAGAUGUGAAAUACCCGGGCUCAACUUGGGUGCUGCAUUUCAAACUGGAAGUCUAGAGUGCAGGAGAGGAGAAUGGAAUUCCUAGUGUAGCAGUGAAAUGCGUAGAGAUUAGGAAGAACACCAGUGGCGAAGGCGAUUCUCUGGACUGUAACUGACGCUGAGGCUCGAAAGCGUGGGGAGCAAACAGGAUUAGAUA